UACACAUCCAUACACAUUCAUAUAAGUAUCCAUACAAUAGAGAAAAUAUACACAUCUAUACAAUCACAAAUAUCAAGUGUUCACCUACACACACCCAUACAUAUUCAUACAAAAAUCAUUUCUGCCUACAGUCCAUACAAUCACUUGUUCACAUCUAUACACACUUAUAUAAUUAUUGCAAAAUUCUUUAUACGAUAUAGAAAAUCCA
Molecule: long non-coding RNA, 208 nt
Filed under: Elaeis guineensis (African oil palm)
Lineage: Eukaryota; Viridiplantae; Streptophyta; Magnoliopsida; Arecales; Arecaceae
Description: long non-coding RNA (EGUI_LNC010023)
Source: RNAcentral